AUAUUUAGAGCUAACAAUUUUUAGGGAAAUUAAAUAUUCUGGGACUAGACAUCAUAUAUGUGUGUAAAUCAAUUCGUUAUACAUUUACUGAGCAUCUCCUGUGUGCCAUCCACUGUGCAAAGAACUAAAGAGAUCCAGAUAAAAAUGGCAGUUUCUGUCAUCAAUGUACUAACAUUCUAAGGGAUAAAACAAACUAAAAAAAGUAAUCAUACAAUGUAAUGAGAGAAAUAACAAAAGAUGUGUACUGGGAUAUCAUAUCUAUUGCAGUAUAAAGACACGACAUAUGCAGGCCUAAAUAGAUAACUUGUGUAUAGAAAAUACAUUAUUUUGAGCUCCUCUGCUCUAAACAGGCCAGCCCUGGUGGUCUAGUGGUUAAGAUCUGGCACUCUCAUUGCCACAGUUUGGGUUCAUUUCUGGUCAGGGAACCACACCACCUGUCUGUCGGUUGUCACACUGUGACAGCUAUGUGUGGCUGGGAUGCUGCAAGCUAUGCCACUGGUAUUUCAAAUACCAGCAGGGUCACCCAUAGUGGACAGGUUUCAGCAGAGCUUCCAGACUAAGGCUGGGAAGAAGGACCUGGUCACUCACUUCUGAAAACAUUGGCCAUGAAACCCUGUGAACAGCAGGGGAGCAUUGUCUGAUACAGCAUGGGAAGAUGCGAGGAUGGUGCCAAAAAGAGCGGGCAGGGUUUGGCUCUGCUGACCACAAGGUCACUGAGAGUGGAAAUCAACUCUCGGGUGCGAACAAACCCUAAACGGAUACAACACAAACAUUUACAAGAUGCAGCCCUGGGAAAGAUUGUGUUUCUCUGUCAUUUCUCUCCAGUCUCCAUUGGUCUGUGACAAUUUCUCAGUCUUUCCUUGUUUUCCUUGACUGUGGCAGCCCUGAGGAAUACUCCCAGCAUUCCUCUAGCCUUCUACUUCGGAGUUUUGUUUGAAGAACAUUCUUGUCAGUUGAGAUUAAGAUAACAUUUCUACGAGAACACAAAAGCUGAGAAAGAAUUCCAGUCACGCUGCCUGAGGAACCAGCUGUGCUCGUCCUUCUGUUUUCUCUUCCUUCUCCAGGCAGAGUGGAGGCUGUGUCUCCAGGGAAUGAAGUGAGUCAACAGGUACAGUUACUGGUGUUUUUCCCCAACAACCUGUUUGGCUCCAAACAAACAAAGAGAGUGAACAAAAUAUACGUGUGUGUCUACUUUUUCAACCUCUCCGUUAACCUCAUUACAGCUCCUUCUCUGCCUCGACUCCACAAAGCUUGUCGUCCUAGCAACAGACCAGCAUGUCAGUUUUCUCUCUGUUAUCUCAAUUGCAUAUUGUCUGCUCACCAGCUAUUAUCUCUUACUCUAGUUAAGUCUAGGUUAAUUAACUGUGUUCUCUUUUCCUAAAGAAAUAAAUCUCCAUCACUCUGUU
Non-coding RNA from Equus caballus (horse), 1406 nucleotides. The record is from RefSeq and is a predicted model, not a curated record. NCBI's taxonomy places the organism in Eukaryota, Metazoa, Chordata, Mammalia, Perissodactyla, Equidae.